This 397-nucleotide ribosomal RNA is filed under the name uncultured bacterium. RNAcentral describes it as "bacterial SSU rRNA". It matches the Rfam family "Bacterial small subunit ribosomal RNA", at positions 358 to 772 of the family's 1533-position model. The record is from RNAcentral.
GGAAUUUUGCGCAAUGGACGAAAGUCUGACGCAGCAACGCCGCGUGGGGGAUGAAGGCCCUCGGGUCGUAAACCCCUUUUGAAAGGGAAGCAACUGACGGUACCUUUCGAAUAAGCCACGGCUAACUACGUGCCAGCAGCCGCGGUAAUACGUAGGUGGCAAGCGUUGUCCGGAUUUACUGGGCGUAAAGGGCGCGCAGGCGGCUCAUCAAGUCUGGGGUGAAAGCUCCCGGCUCAACCGGGAGAGGUCUCUGGAUACUGAUGGGCUUGAGGAACGCAGAGGAAAGCGGAAUUCCCGGUGUAGCGGUGAUAUGCGUAGAUAUCGGGAGGAACACCAGUGGCGAAGGCGGCUUUCUGGGCGUUUCCUGACGCUGAGGCGCGAAAGCGUGGGGAGCAAA